This 253-nucleotide unclassified non-coding RNA is filed under the name Hevea brasiliensis (rubber tree). Lineage: Eukaryota; Viridiplantae; Streptophyta; Magnoliopsida; Malpighiales; Euphorbiaceae. The record is from RNAcentral.
UUUUUUCUAUAUCUGAUCCUUCUAUAUGUAACUAGAAUGUCCUCAGUUUGAGUAUUUUGUGUACAAAUGGACUGAAGCCUCCUUUUGUGAUAUCCAUCACCGCACCAACUUGAUACAAACCAUCCUUGCAAUAUGGAUGAGUAUGCAUUAUAGAGGAUCAUGUUUUUCUUGUGCUAUUACGAUGGAAUAGUUUGCUUUUGUGAAUCUAUUGAUGGCGAUGCUUGGAUUUUAGAAGCAUAAUUUUAGUUUUGAG